This 27-nucleotide non-coding RNA is filed under the name Rattus norvegicus (Norway rat). The record is from RNAcentral. Lineage: Eukaryota; Metazoa; Chordata; Mammalia; Rodentia; Muridae.
GAUGUGUACUUUAAAUGAGGCUCAACU